This 802-nucleotide ribosomal RNA is filed under the name uncultured bacterium. RNAcentral's name for it is "bacterial SSU rRNA". It matches the Rfam family "Bacterial small subunit ribosomal RNA", at positions 8 to 796 of the family's 1533-position model. The record is from RNAcentral.
AGAGUUUGAUCAUGGCUCAGGACGAACGCUGGCGGCGUGCUUAACACAUGCAAGUGGAGCGACGAACCAGGGCUUGCCCUGGGGCAAAGCCGCGAACGGGUGAGUAACACGUGGGUAACCUGCCUUGAUGAUUGGGACAACCCCGGGAAACCGGGGCUAAUACCAAAUGUGCUCACACCCCAUCAGGGGUAUGAGGAAAGGAAGCUUCGGCCUCCGCAUCAAGAUGGGCCCGCGGCCCAUUAGCUUGUUGGUGAGGUAACGGCUCACCAAGGCUCCGAUGGGUAGCUGGUCUGAGAGGACGAUCAGCCACACUGGGACUGAGACACGGCCCAGACUCCUACGGGAGGCAGCAGUGGGGAAUCUUGCACAAUGCGCGAAAGCGUGAUGCAGCAACGCCGCGUGUGGGAAGACGGCCUUCGGGUUGUAAACCACUUUCAGUUGGGACGAAGCUCCGUCGGUGAAUAGCCGGCCGGAGUGACGGUACCUUCACAAGAAGCCCCGGCUAACUACGUGCCAGCAGCCGCGGUAAUACGUAGGGGGCAAGCGUUGUCCGGAAUCAUUGGGCGUAAAGCGCGUGUAGGCGGCUCGAUAAGUCUGCUGUGAAAGUCCAGGGCUCAACCCUGGGAUGCCGGUGGAUACUGUCGAGCUCGAGUCCGGAAGAGGCGAGUGGAAUUCCUGGUGUAGCGGUGAAAUGCGCAGAUAUCAGGAGGAACACCAAUGGCGAAGGCAGCUCGCUGGGACGUGACUGACGCUGAGACGCGAAAGCGUGGGGAGCAAACAGGAUUAGAUACCCUAGUAGUCC